Long non-coding RNA from Hordeum vulgare subsp. vulgare (domesticated barley), 1648 nucleotides. RefSeq lists it as uncharacterized. The record is from RefSeq and is a predicted model, not a curated record. The transcript is spliced from 3 exons. NCBI's taxonomy places the organism in Eukaryota, Viridiplantae, Streptophyta, Magnoliopsida, Poales, Poaceae.
GAUGCUUCAUCAGCAGUAAAAAUACAGACAUGAAGAUUCACUUCCAGUCCAAUUCAAGUAAUUACUCGAGUAAAUAAUUUCAUAUUGCAUUGGAGUAGCAUCAUUCAGUACUUUGCUGUUUUUCAGUUGGUCAGCAUGCCAAUUUGGUCAUUCAUAAUUAUUUGUUGUGAGUAAAUAAUUUGAUAUCUUUACCUAAUAAUAAAGAGGCUAUCGCUUCUGUUGGAAAACCCACCGUGGCUAUUUUGCAAAAAGGUCCCUGCAUUUUCCCAUAUUCAACCCGCUGGCCUCGGUAAGUGAAUAAAAAACUGUUUGUUUUUUUGUCAACCCUUUGUAUACGUUUGACCGCAGAUCAAGCAUAUCCAGCGGCGAUCCGAUCGGGACACGACGGAGGACGACGACGGCAAGGCUCCGAGAGGCGAGGGACGACAGGGAAGCCGCGGACGUCGGCGGCGAGUAAUGGAGGCCGGCGGCGACCUUGCUCCAUGGCCACGGAGAUAGGCAGCGACGGUGCUCCAUGGCUAUGGAGGCUCUAUCUCCGGGGAAGAAUAGAUGAGGUGAGAUGGAGAGAAUGGAGAGUAGGGACGGCACGGCUACCUGCUACUAGUCCGACGGCGGCUCCGGUCGCUAGAUUCAGGAAAUCGUCUAAAGUGCUCCAACCAGUCUCUUUUGAAUCUCCAUCCAUGUUGAAGUUCCACUACUUCCCAACUCCCAACGAUGAUGCAAUCCAUGUUGGUUGAUGAGGAGGUCGUUCAGUCGUCUCAAAUCAUGCCAAGAGCAAACUGCAAUUCACAUUGGAAUGUGUGUGCAGAAGGAGGCACAUCGAAUGCAGUUUGAAAGAUGUGUUCAACUGUUUUAGCUGCCUCGCAAAUUUUACAGAAAUUAUGAAUGACAGAGAACCAAUUUGAGACAACAGGUUGCCGUCGAAUUCCAGGAAUAAAACUAACUUCACGAUGUGAUUAGUCUCUUACCAGAGUACAAGUUCAUUCUCUGGUGCAAAAGGUGAGCAUUUAGGGCACACUGUGUAGCAAGGAUAUGUUGUAGAUUGUAUUAGUCUUCUGUGGACUGACUUGUGAGAGGUUGGGAUUCUCAAGCUUGCUUGGUCGGAACCUUUUCUUUUGAGUCGAUUAAUGAACGAUGGGCAUGAGGACAUCUCUGGACUAAGUACGCCGUAUGUGUACCACUACAUACAGAUAGCUCCCUCGUCAUAUCUCGACAGAAGAAGAGCACCUUUGAUCAAUAGAGUUGCAUUUCUUUCUUGUUACUGCAAUUGUAUGUGCCUUGCGGACUAAACUUUUUUCUUUCCUUUUUAAUUUCAGGUAGUUCUUUCAAAGAUAGCUCGCUCGUCGUAUCUCGAUAGAAAAAGAACAACUUUGAUCGAUGGAGAUGGAUUUAUUUCCUGUUGGUGCGAUUAUAUGUGCCCUGCUCACUAAACUAUCUUCUUUCCUAUUUACCAAUAAAGAAAAUAAUCAGGUUGGUCAAGGGAGGGGAAUGUGUCUCCUCCACUAUUACAUUACAUCCGAUACUAUCUAAUUAGAAGCAUGCUCACUAGAAUGCAUUUUUAUUCUAAUUUGCAAAUUUAGGAUUCUACCUACAAGACUUGCAGUCUUUGUAUAAAUUAAGAUUAAGCAGGACAAUGUUCUAGGUUUAA